CAUGCAAGUCGAGCGGAUGAGUGGAGCUUGCUCCAUGAUUCAGCGGCGGACGGGUGAGUAAUGCCUAGGAAUCUGCCUGGUAGUGGGGGACAACGUUUCGAAAGGAACGCUAAUACCGCAUACGUCCUACGGGAGAAAGCAGGGGACCUUCGGGCCUUGCGCUAUCAGAUGAGCCUAGGUCGGAUUAGCUAGUUGGUGAGGUAAUGGCUCACCAAGGCGACGAUCCGUAACUGGUCUGAGAGGAUGAUCAGUCACACUGGAACUGAGACACGGUCCAGACUCCUACGGGAGGCAGCAGUGGGGAAUAUUGGACAAUGGGCGAAAGCCUGAUCCAGCCAUGCCGCGUGUGUGAAGAAGGUCUUCGGAUUGUAAA
This 373-nucleotide ribosomal RNA is filed under the name Pseudomonas sp. Its description in RNAcentral is "bacterial SSU rRNA". It matches the Rfam family "Bacterial small subunit ribosomal RNA", at positions 54 to 429 of the family's 1533-position model. The record is from RNAcentral. Lineage: Bacteria; Pseudomonadati; Pseudomonadota; Gammaproteobacteria; Pseudomonadales; Pseudomonadaceae.